Patella vulgata (common limpet) is the source of this 321-nucleotide long non-coding RNA. RefSeq lists it as uncharacterized. The record is from RefSeq and is a predicted model, not a curated record. The transcript has 3 exons. NCBI's taxonomy places the organism in Eukaryota, Metazoa, Mollusca, Gastropoda, Patellidae.
CUCAGGAUCCGUGGUAUAGAGGUUGUUACCAUGGUAAAGUGGAAAAUGUAACCAUAGCAACUAUAAAUGGCGGUGAUGUGGUUGAAUGUGCCCAAUAUUGUCAUCAACAUAAGUUCAGUUGGAUUGCUAUAAACAAGGGAAGUAACUGUGUCUGUAUUAAUGCUUCAGCAGACCUGACAUCAUUAACUCGAGAUGAGAGAGGCUGCACAACCAGAUGUAUUGGAGAUAUUGGGGAUAUAGGUCUACCAUGUGGUGGACCAGAUGGAGCGUGGAGUAUAUACGAGGCAGACGGACCAUAUAUCCAGAAUGUCGAAGCCUCAG